RNAcentral lists this ribosomal RNA (441 nucleotides) under Pleurodonte isabella. RNAcentral describes it as "partial 16S ribosomal RNA". It matches the Rfam family "Bacterial large subunit ribosomal RNA", at positions 1828 to 2602 of the family's 2925-position model. Lineage: Eukaryota; Metazoa; Mollusca; Gastropoda; Stylommatophora; Pleurodontidae. The record is from RNAcentral.
AACCAUGUGGUUUGCACGCCUGGCGUUUUCUGCUCCAUGAGUAUUUAAAUAGCCGCAGUACCCUGACUGUGCGAAGGUAGCAUAAUCAGUUGGCUUAUAAUUGAAGUCUGGUAUGAAAGAAUAAAUGGGUGGCGACUGUCUCCAAAAGACUGAAAGAAGUUGUUUAUCAAGUGAAAAAACUUGUAAAGAGAUAAAAGACGAGAAGACCCUAGAAAUUUUUUAUAGUUGUAGAAUCAUUUAAAUACACUCUAUUUUGCUGGGGCGGUAAAGUAACACUACAACUUGCUAUAUAAUGCUUGGAGGUUAGUUUUCAGAAAAAAUAUAAUUACUCUAGGGAUAACAGCAUAAUUUUUAAGAGUUUGUGACCUCGAUGUUGGACUAGGGCCUGUAACGUUCAGAAGAUGUUAUUGCACGUUCUGUUCGAACGCCUCCCCCUACAUG